AAUUUAACAAACCCUCGAUAUCAUAGAUAGGAACCCUGGCCCCAAAUCUACUAACAACAGCCACGACAAAGACCAUCGGCAAACUCAAUGGAAACCAGUAGAAACCCAUUUGUCACCGCAUCGGUGAUAACAUCAACUAGUCGGGAUGCUCCUUCUACACUCAAGAGGAUAACCUCGGUAAACAUCAUUGGCAAGUUAAAUCUCUACGUUUAUUAGCCACUGCUGAUGACCUUUCAUCAGAAAAUAACUGUCGCAAAUAACAUAUGUCUCCAUCACUGAAGAAAUCUAGAACGAAGAAGCCCUAACCCUUCUUCAUAGAUGAACUCCACUGUCGAGAGGCCCUAAUUGACCUACCAUCACCAAGAUUUUGGGAACUUCUUCAAAUAAUCAACACAGCCUUUGUGAUUUCGCACUAGAGAGAUAGAAGCCUCUAUUGCUUAUAGAUAUCAACUAUCAGGUCUUUAUGGGUCUAUUUGGUGAAUCUGAAAAAGUCAAGUGGCGUGGAACAUGGGUUGUUAAAACCGUAAUUAGAAGACAAAUUUAUGAUGAUCGUGUUACAAUGUUGCAAAUGAAAUCAAUAUGAUCUUCAAGGUGUCAAAAGAAGAAAAAUUGUCACGUUGAAGAAAGUGAUUCCAAAAAUCAUGAAGAUUACGUGAUUGAACUCAUUAGGAGGUUGAAUUAGGUUUUUGCAUAUUAUGGUUUAUUUUAAUGGUUUUUUUCCUUAGCUUUUGUUCUUAUAUUAAAAGAAUUGUAAAUUAUAGUCCAACAAUUUGUGUGUAAUCAUUAUAUAAGUAGUUAUAUUAAUUGCUUAGAUUAGGUAAUUGUAUAU
Molecule: long non-coding RNA, 829 nt
Organism: Vitis vinifera (wine grape)
Lineage: Eukaryota; Viridiplantae; Streptophyta; Magnoliopsida; Vitales; Vitaceae
Exons: 4
Source: RefSeq, a predicted model, not a curated record